UUGCCAAAGCAAUUGCAGCUGGACUGCUUACAAAUAGUACACAUAUGUAUUAACAGAAAGCAAAAGAAAGAUAACAAUAAUAAUAAUA
Sinocyclocheilus anshuiensis is the source of this 88-nucleotide long non-coding RNA. RefSeq lists it as uncharacterized. NCBI's taxonomy places the organism in Eukaryota, Metazoa, Chordata, Actinopteri, Cypriniformes, Cyprinidae. The record is from RefSeq and is a predicted model, not a curated record. The transcript has 4 exons.